Long non-coding RNA from Homo sapiens (human), 2311 nucleotides. Ensembl annotates it as long intergenic non-protein coding RNA 1013. The record is from Ensembl. Lineage: Eukaryota; Metazoa; Chordata; Mammalia; Primates; Hominidae.
AAACACUGAGAAUAUGAGAAGAAAAGGAGCAAAGUCCCCAAAGGAGAAAGAAGUGUCUUUAUUUUCUACAUUUCCUGUGAAAGGCUAAUUUUGCUGCUUUCAAGCAAUUCAAAAUGAUUAUAGAGAGUGCUAAACUCAGAAAGGCAAAACAAGGUUAGAAUGAAGCCCAUGCAAAGAAAAUAUGGACCUGAAGAAAAACAAGCUAUGGACUAUCUUCUGUCUCAUGCUAGCAGUGGAAUAGGAAAAGGACUCAAAAGACUUCUACUGGCCAUAAUGAAGUACCUGUUACUAUAUUUGCUUUCCUACCAUAAGCAACUAUAAAACUGGACAAUAUAUAGGCAACUGAUCUCAUGCAUUUCAAGCAGCACAGGAUUCUGAUAAUUAACAGAAGGAAAGCACAUGAGGAUAAUACUGGAGGCUGCCAUGGGAGAAGUCUGCACAAAAAGAGCAAGUUUAAGAGCUUCAGGAGUCAUAAAUGGCUUGAGAAGAUUAUGCUAGAGAUUGAAGCAGAUGGAAGAUUCUAGAAACAGAAAGCAUUCUUUUCAUUGGUUCCCGAAGGCAAAAAUGAAUUGUACUCUUCUUAUACAUGUUGCUGCUUUCAAGAUUUCCAUUUUACACCAUUGAUGGGCCUUAGUUUUUGGGUUGUCUACAAAGUCAAGUUUCUCUUAUUUGGAAAACCUGAAUAUAGCCUUGCAGUACAAAGCACUGGUCAUGCUGUCCACUUUCAGAAGAUGGCAUGGAAUUCACAGCAACAAGAAAUGUUUUGGAAUGCUGGCAAAGGAGCAGAAAACAGUGUUCUCCCCACACAUUUAGAAAAAUAAAGACAGGUUUCCAUGUGCAAGGCUCCAGCCCAGACCAAUGACACUGCUUAUCUAUGAUUGUCAAAAUGCCAGCUAUCACCAGUGAAGAACUCCAGGUGGCACAAAUACUAUGACCUGUCUCCUAACAGAUCUCAGGAGUUAAGACAUCAUCUCCAGAAAACUGUGCUAGUUGGCAUCCAGCAGUGCCCAAGUAUUAUUUAACCCACUAGAACCUGUGACUGCAUCAGCUUUAUAUCCUGGACCUCAGCCUGGAACAAAGGAGAGCUACACUUGGAUACUAAACACAAGUGGUCUGGAUAGAUUAUGCUGGGAAAAGAAGCCUGGAGCAGGCAGUACAGUGGGAGAACAAGUCUUGAAAGAUGGGAAGAUCAGGAGCAGUCUGGAGUCAUGGUAUAUGAAUGAACUAGUGAGAGUGGGCACAAAGUCUGAAGAUCUUUGUAGUGCAGCUAAUGUCUAAGGGAGAAUAUACCUACCCUAGAAGAGACAUUAAACAACCAGUUCAACCAAUCUACAAAGGCCAAAAAUAUUUUCACAGGCCCCCAAAAGAUGAACUCCAAUCUGCUGCCCCUAAACGCAUUCUCCACUGUCUGGAAGAUGUGCAAAGGCAACGGCACAGCGUUCUCCAUCUCAAAUCCUUCAAAGUGCUGUCAGAAUAAAAGAAUCCCCACCAAAAGCCCCAGGGAAAUCUAUCUGUCUGUAUGGUAUGGUAAUGACUGAGGUUAUUCCAGAUAGGAUUCUGGGAGAAACUCAGCUAUUGAAAUCUAAUGAAUGGAACUGAGAAUUUCUUGUUAUAAUACUGUUUGUUUGAUUGAAUAUAUCCUUGCAUAUAGGAAGACAUAAAAAUAAAUAAUAAAAGCAAGAUAUUAUUUGAAUUUUUGUUUGAUUAUAUAAUCUGAGAAUUUUUCUGGUAAGUAAUUUUGCAUCUGGAUUUAUUUUUUCUGCCAGUCACUUGCCUUUCUAGUUUUAUGUCAUUUUUAUCUCUUUCCUAUUUUAAUGUCAGCACCUAGGUUUACAUUAAGGAUUGUAUUUUUUUAAUCACCAGGGAUUACAACAAUUUAUGUUCCUUUUCUAGCUGCCAAAAUACAGAUAUUUCCUUUCUUCUGCUAUAUUCUUGCUGGACAACUCCUUUCAAAAUAUUUUUAACUUUUUCUGUUUGAAGUGAAUUUCAGUUCAUUGUAGAAAUAAUACAAAAUGAGUAACAGGCAAUAAAUAAAUGAAUAGUCCUUUGGAUUUUUACCACCCAGAGAUAAUAGUUCUUAAUCUAAGUGUGAGCCUUAAUCUAUAGCAAUGAAAAUUAGUCUUACUUUCACCAAAGACAUCCAGGGUUCCCCUAUCCUCUUCUGUAGAGGCAGCCCUAUUACCAGUGUCUUGUGUUUACUUUCAGAGGAGUACAUGCAAACAUCUGUAUAUAUGCCAUUUUUACAGGAAAAUGAUAAAUUUUACAUUUUUCAGAUCCUUGCUUUUUCAUGUAACAAUAAAUCUUGAAAUCA